AGUGGAUGGGGAGCAACCUAGUUGUGCGUGUGUAAAGGUAGUGCCAAGAAAAGCGAUGAUCAUGUUGAAAAUCAAUUCCCGGUACCCGAAACCGACACAGGUGGGCAAGUAGAGAAUACUAAGGGGCGCGAGGUAACUCUCUCCAAGGAACUCGGCAAAAUGACCCCGUAACUUAGGGAGAAGGGGUGCCACCGAGAGGUGGUCGCAGUGAAGAGGCCCAGGCGACUGUUUAGCAAAAACAUAGGUCUCUGCAAACUCGAAAGAGGAGGUAUAGGGGCUGACGCCUGCCCAGUGCCGGAAGGUUAAAGAAGUUGGUCAGUCUUAGGAUGAAGCUAGCGACUGAAGCCCCGGUGAACGGCGGCCGUAACUAUAACGGUCCUAAGGUAGCGAAAUUCCUUGUCGGGUAAGUUCCGACCCGCACGAAAGGCGUAACGAUCUGGGCGCUGUCUCGGAGAGAGGCUCGGCGAAAUAGGAUUGUCUGUGAAGAUACGGACUACCUGCAUUUGGACAGAAAGACCCUAUGAAGCUCCACUAUAGCUUGGAAUUGUGUUCGGGCUUCCUGUGCGCAGGAUAGGUGGGAGGCGUAGAAGGUAUUCUUGUGGGGAUACUGGAGCCAACGGUGAGAUACCACUCUCAGGAGGCUAGAAUUCUAACUUAAUUAAGGACAGUUUCAGGUGGGUAGUUUGACUGGGGCGGUCGCCUCCAAAAAGGUAACGGAGGCGUACAAAGGUUCCCUCAGACUGGUUGGAAAUCAGUCGAAGAGUGCAAAGGCAGAAGGGAGCUUGACUGCGAGAAGUACAGUUCGAGCAGGGUGGAAACACGGUCUUAGUGAUCCGACGGUGCUGUGUGGAAGGGCCGUCGCUCAACGGAUAAAAGUUACUCUAGGAUAACAGGCUGAUCUCCCCCAAGAGUUCACAUCGACGGGGAGGUUUGGCACCUCGAUGUCGGCUCAUCGCAACCUGGGGCGGAAGUACGUCCCAAGGGUUGGGCUGUUCGCCCAUUAAAGCGGUACGUGAGCUGGGUUCAGAACGUCGUGAGACAGUUCGGUCCAUAUCCGAUGUAGGCGUGAGAAUAUUGAGAGGAGCCUUCCUUAGUACGAGAGGACCGGGAAGGACGCACCGCUGGUGUACCUGUUAUGAUGCCAAUUGUAAACGCAGGGUAGCCAAGUGCGGAGAGGAUAACCGCUGAAAGCAUCUAAGUGGGAAGCCCACCUCAAGAUGAGUAUUCUGGUGUAAGGUCACGGGAAGACGACCCGUAAAUAGGCACGAGGUGGAAGUGCAGAGAUGUAUGAAGCCGAAGUGUACUAAUAGACCGUCGGCUUGAC
This 1324-nucleotide ribosomal RNA is filed under the name metagenome. RNAcentral describes it as "bacterial LSU rRNA". It matches the Rfam family "Bacterial large subunit ribosomal RNA", at positions 1561 to 2925 of the family's 2925-position model. The record is from RNAcentral.